UAAUAGAGCUGUAUAUUCCAAUA
RNAcentral lists this non-coding RNA (23 nucleotides) under Arabidopsis thaliana (thale cress). Lineage: Eukaryota; Viridiplantae; Streptophyta; Magnoliopsida; Brassicales; Brassicaceae. The record is from RNAcentral.